AAGUGGGUGUGCUUGUACGUUUGUCCGGUUCCCUACAUUUUGUCUUUCAAAGGAUAUUUCAACGAAAACCUUGUGUUUACCUUGCCAUCACCUAAGCAAGUUAGUAACCAGAUGAUUUUGGGCAAGCUAUGUCUGUCACUGGUCAUCAUGGAACUGUCCAGUGAGAGUAUUCACAUUCUGUUUGCCACUGUGUGCUAGGCAUCAUACUUCCAUUUCUAUCAACAUCAUGAUCCUGAACGCACAAGGAUUGCUGACACUAGAUUCCCACUUUCAUCUGUUGAGUGCAUUCAUAUAUGCAUUCUUGUAUGUUUGAUAAUUUCCACGUUUUCAUCAUCAAACAGCCAAACUUUCCAUAACCAAACCUCUACCAAUCCAUCACUUUUACAAAAGCAGUCUUCUCACCGUUGGCCAGCAAAAAACAUACAUAGGCUUUGAGACCAUCUCUACCUUUUAGGACUUCCUUAUCCUGCUAUUCUUGCGCCUUCGCCGCGUCGCCGUCACCAUCGCCUUCGCCUCAUCGCUCUUACCGUCGCUUCAUCGCCUUCGCCUCAUCGCCUUCACACCGUCGCUGUCACCGUCGCCACAUCGCCGUCGCCUCAUCGCCUUCGCCCCAUCGCCUGCGUUCCAUCGCCUUCCCCCCAUCGCCUUCGCUUCAUCGCCUUCGUCUCAUCGCCUUCGCUUCAUCGCCUUCGUCUCAUCGCCUUCGCCCCAUCGCUUCAUCGCCUUCGCUUCAUCGCCUUCGCCCCAUCGCCUUCGCAUCAUCGCCUUCGCCUUCGCGCCAUCGCCGUCACCCUGGUAUUGUUUUGUUUUGCAUUGUAGUGUGUAAGUUAACCCAUUGGCUGCCACCCCGUUUGCGUCCCAUUUUUUUUGUAGAUGUAGGGACUUGGGCGCUGUUCUCCUCAUGGCCAUGGGGGGAACAGUCGCCAUGGCGCCUAAUGGCUUUAUGCCAUUAGACGCCCUUAGGCAAUGCACCAGCAGGGACUUCUCCUUGUCGGCGCAGUGAUAGAUUAUCCAGGGGUGUGCAUUCCCGGAAUGGACUCUAUUACUGUGCCAGCCCGGACUUGUCUUCGGACAAGUCCCACCUUGUUCGCGGAUCCUUCAGACGGCGAUGCGUAGUUACUGUAGUUAAGCAACCUACGGGUUUGCAUGGCCUGGCAGCCAAUGGGUUAACUUAGU
Daphnia carinata is the source of this 1176-nucleotide long non-coding RNA. RefSeq lists it as uncharacterized. Lineage: Eukaryota; Metazoa; Arthropoda; Branchiopoda; Diplostraca; Daphniidae. The record is from RefSeq and is a predicted model, not a curated record. The transcript is spliced from 4 exons.